Piliocolobus tephrosceles (Ugandan red Colobus) is the source of this 5597-nucleotide long non-coding RNA. RefSeq lists it as uncharacterized. The transcript is spliced from 2 exons. The record is from RefSeq and is a predicted model, not a curated record. Lineage: Eukaryota; Metazoa; Chordata; Mammalia; Primates; Cercopithecidae.
UGUUUUUUUCUUAACAGAAGAAAAAGCUUAAAAAUUUAAGCUCACAGUUGUCAUACAAAGUACAAAACUCAAAGAAGGGCCAGAUGAUUGAAGCUUAAAUAUCUCCUCAUAAGGGAGUGAGAAAUGAGAGUGGUCAUCCUUGUCUUGUUGUGUUGAGACUAGAAAUGAUGCUAGACAAAAAGUGAAUUCCAGCGAUUUUCUGAUUCAAGUUCAAAAUGGGUCAGAAAGCAGCAGAGAUAACUUGCAACAUCAACAACGCACUUGGCCCAGGAACUGCUGAUGAAUGCACAGUGCAGUAAUGGUUCAGAAAGUUUUGCAAUGGAGACUAAAGCCUUGAACAUGAGGAACAUAGUGGCUGGCCAUUGAAAGUUGACAACUAUCAAUUGGGAGCAAUCAUCAAAGCUGAUCCUCUUACAACUAUAUGAGAAGUUGUUGAGGAAGUCAACGUUGACCAUUCUAUGGGUCAUUUGGCAUUUGAAGUAAAUUGGAGAGACGAAAAGGCUCAAAAAAUGGGUGCCUCAUGAGCUGGGCAAAAAUAAAAAAAAAUGUCAUUUUGAAGUGUCGUCUUCUCUUAUUCUGUGCAACAACAAUGAACCGUUUCUCUAUUAGACAGUGAUGUGUGAUGACAAGAGGAUUUUACAUGAGAACUGGUGAUGACCAGCUCAGUAGCUGGACCAAGAAGAAGCUGCAAAACACCUCCCAAAGCCAAACUUGCAUCAAAAAAUGUCACAGACACUGUCUGGUGGUCUGCUGCCUGUUUGAUCUACUACAGCUUUCUGAAUUCUGGUGAAACCAUUACAGCUGAGAGGUAUGAUCAGCAAUUUGAUGAGAUGCACCAAAAACUGCAAUGCCUUCAGCCGACAUUGGUCAACAGAAAGGGCCCAAUUAUUUUCCACGACAAUGCUUCAUCACAUGUCACACAACCUGCUUCAAAAGUUGAAUGAAUUGGGCUACGAAGUUUUGCCUCAUCUGCCAUAUUCACCUGACCUCUUGCCAACCAACUACCACUUCUUCAAGUAUUACAACAAUUUUUUGCAAGGAAACUGCUUCCACAACCAGCAGGAUGCAGAAAAUGCUUUCCAAGAGUUCGUGGAGUCCCAGAGCAUAAAUUUUUAUAGUACAGGAAUAAACAAACAUUUCUCAUUGACAAAAAUAUAUUGACUGUAAUUGUUCCUAUUUUGGUUAAUAAAGACGUGUUUGAGCCUAGUUUUAAUUAUUUACCAUUCAUUGUCUGAAACCAUGAUCACUUUUGUACCAACCUAAAUUAAUUGUUAUAAUGCUUUUUGUUUGGAAUACAAACAAAAGUAUGCAUUUAAUAGAAUAUUCAGAAGAAUAACAGAUUUACAUUAAGACCGACCACAAAAUGGACUUGCGAAGUCAACAAUAUACUUUAACUAUUAACAUAAAUAUUAAAAUACAGUGAAUGACAUCCAAACUCACUACUUUUUGGAAUUUUCAGAUAGAAAGGGCCCCAGAUUGAAACCAAUGCAGUUGUAUUAACCAUCUCUCUCAUAAGUGCACUUGUAGACACACUUUCCCACCAAAAUAUUAUUGUAAAAACCAUGUAGUGAGGAGUAGAAUUUUAUGAUGUAUUAAGUGAUGCCAAACUCGAACUUCUAGGCCCAACUCAGAGUAACAAUAACACAAAAAAAGAUAUUUGUGUGUCAAAGGAUAUAACAAAGUUCUGCUAAAAACAAUCCACCUGGCUGUGGCUACCAUUCUAAACUUUGUUAAUCUAUGUAUAUGCAAAUAUGCAUCUAAAAUCCCUAUAACUAAAGUUGUUGGAAUUUCUUAUUGUAAAUAUUUUUGCUCACUGUAACAUAAUGAUCUUGUUGACACUAACAAAAGUGAGAAUAUCUAACACUGAACAAUUUUUGACUCUGUUCUGUUUUCCUUAGCCCAAGAAGUGUAGUUUUGAGGAUUAUAUUUCCUUACUAGUUGGCAUGCAACUGUAGGCAUUUGUUGGGUAAACUUGCCCUUCUCUUUCAUCCUUCAGUGCCCUGAAAGCCACACCACUUCUCUUAUUCAACCCCGUGCUCCAGCAGGUCAGGCUCAUCUCCAAAUCCAUCCUGGGCCUAUCUCCUUAAAUAACCUUCUCCUUUACCACCCCCCAGCCCCACUAUGCCACAGGCUUCAUUUUUUAUAAACAUAAAAUUCAAAAGGGAUGCCUCUCUGUGAUUUUGCUCCUGCAUCAACAUUAAGUCCACACAUUGAGUGUGGUAUAAAGAACUCAGAGUGAAUUUAUUUAUGCUAUUAUUCUUUUAAAAUAGGUCUGUUGCUAAUAGGUCUCUGGGUAUGCAUACAAAAUUCACACAGCUAUAAAGAGAAAGAAACAAAUGCCAGAUACACAGUACCAAGCUGAGAAACCAAAUGGUACGCAGAGACAAUGAAGGAGCUGAGCUUAGAGGUUAGCAUUGAAACCUAGCCCUGACUGCUAUUUGGAACAUCAAGCAUCCUAAUGAGUAUAGAGCAUUAUAUGAUUCUCAAGUAAUAAAGAAGUUUGGCUUCAGUGCCCUCAUUGUGACUGCAUAUGGUCAACAGUUUAAGGAGAAAAUGAAAUAAGAAAAAAAAUGCAUUUUGUAGUCUCCAUCAAAGAAAGAAAUGAGUGGUAAUAUUUUAGCUCUUCUCCCUACCUCAUAAGGUUAAUUAAUUAAUAAUAUAAUUAAAAUAGUGCAAAAUAUAGUAACUGCCCAAGAUAGUCAAAAUAAAGAUUCUAUUUCUAUUAAAGUUGAUCUAAGAUUGCCAAAAAACCAAAACAUUACUGGCAUUUGGUCAUCUGUGUUGAAGGAUAGAUAUUCUGUAAAAAGUUUAGAGAAGCUCUUAUCCAGAAUUAAAGGAAUUGUUCAUUUUACUGUGAGAAAAUCCUUAAGUGCCUUCAGAUACAGUGCAAACUGCUACAUCUAAAGAAUGCUCAGUGACUUAAGUGUGGAACAGUGUGCUUCUAGCUUGGAAGCUGGAGGCCCAGUCUUGGGAAACAUCAACUUUUGGGUCAGCUGUUGUGCACACAUCCCACAACAUCCGGAGCAACAGAUUAUGUGCCGAUAAUCUUUUCCAGUCACCAGUUUAGAGCUCAUGGAGAAAGACAAGGAAAAAGGAAAGGAUCAGAAUUCCUGCCAAUCCUCUGGUCUUCAAGCCUCUGCCACAGCUGCUGUAUUUUGUCCAAACAAAAAGAUUUGAAAAUGAACUUUCCAGUUUUAUCUGACAUUCUUGUUUGUUCAAAAUGUGGUCUCCCGUCACCAUCCCUAUAUCUCCAAAGAUUUUAAUAAGAAUUGCAAUUAUUUUGGCAAUUUGAAAUCACUAUUUCUGAAGUAGGUUUGAGUGCUUGUAUAAGUCUCUCAGCAAGAUUAUUUGUAGUUAGACAGGAAACAUUUGUUUUUUAUUUAAAUGUAAAUGGAUAUUAUGAAGCAGAUUCACUGUGCAUUGGUUAGCACCUUGUCUGAGUCUGACAAUGUAGAGCAUACUCAUACACAACACAUUGCACAAAGUGGAUUUAUUAUUUACACAUUGGCAGUAAGGGACAAAAGAAGCAUCAACUUCAUUGCGAACCAGUUCCUCAAAGCUCAAGAAAGCUGCCUGGGGCAUAUAGAGUCUACACUGCAUGUGGCCCAAUUUGCACCACAACUGAGGGAGCCCCACAGGCAGCCUGCCAGGGUUAUAUACAUUAGGGGCACCAGGACUCACUGGCAAAGGCUUGAAGGAUAUCCCUCUUCCAGAGGAGAGAGGAGCAAAGCUAAAGCUGUCUCAGGCAGUUGCUGCCUAACUCAAGAUGUUAAGUUUCCUAAGAGUAACAGGAACAAGGUCCCAAAUGUUUGAGGCAGCUCCUCCCUAUCUGAGUUCUUGCAUUCUGGGCAUAUCCUAGUUACUCCUGAGAACUACAGGCAAGAAAGUGGAGAGAGCUGGUCAGUCCGAGGCCACCAGAGAACUGCUCUGCAUAUAUUUAGUGACUAACGAGUUUGGCUAAUAAUAUAUCUUUAAGUACUGAUGAUCAGAAAAGAUCUGUUUUAAUUAUUGCUAUAUUGUUUCAUUAUUGUUUAUCUUCUUUUCAUCCCAUGUAAUUCUAAAUACAAAUCUCUGAAAAAUUAAGGGUAAGAUAAUUUUUUUCUUGACUAAUUUUUAUGGUUGCUUACAAUUAGGAAGUAUGUCAAAUAAAUUCACCAUAAAUAAAUCGACAUACAUCAACAAAACAUCCCAAACUCAGUUGUAUUAAUUUUCUUAAGACAUAAUUAUUUAUGAAGAGCUGAGCUUUUGCUACCUUUUUAAGCUCCAAAUCUUGUGAAUAGGCCAAAAAGUCACUUCCACAAACAUUUAUAGAGAAUUUAUUAAAAUUGAGUCAAUGGUAAGUGUGAGAUUCAAAAAUGAAAAGUGAAGUAUACCUUCAAGAAAUAUACAAUAUUCACUGUAACACAGUGCAGAAUAAGCUAGUGCAGUUAAAGCAUAAACAAAAUGCUCAGGGAAACUAGAGUGGGGACCGAUGAGGAGAAGGAAGAGCUUGAUGGAAUAAAUGUUAAAUAAUGUGAAUUUUUAAUAAUAAAUGUAGGUAGGCAAAGAAGAGAGGAAUUUACUAUAGGCACAAGUUUGUAUGGAGAUUAACAAAAUGUAGUCCCUAUGCACAAAACCAAGAUCAAAACUAGCAAUAUGGUGAAUAGAAUUUUGCUCCCCAAUGUUGAGUCUAACAAGGAUUAGACAUUCCCAUCUCUCUUCUCAGCUUUGUUUUUCUCCAUAACACAUUUUAUACUCUCAUAUAUUGUAUAGCUUAAUACGUUCAUAUUUAUUGCCCAACUCUCAGUGGCAGAGUGCUAGCUGUGCACACACAGAUUUCCUGUUCUUGCUUGAUUUACAGCUAAAUACGUUUUCCAUUCUCCCUUCUAAUUAGGUAUAUCCAUGUGAAUGAGGUUUAGCUAUAGUCACCCUUGGAGUGUGUGGGGAUCCCAGAAAAUACAUUUUGUAGGUCCCUCAUCUAUUUAAGAAAUUUGAUCAAAAAUGUUAUUACAGAGGUUAUGCACUCAUGCAAGUUAUAAUCAGUGGAAUUUAGAAUUAGCAGUGAAAAUUUAAUUGAGAACAUGUACUUACGUUUGAUUUAUCAUCCGAUACAUGAAAAGGUUCUCUUUAGCAUCCAUUAACCAUGUCUUCCUAGUCAGGUGAAGGAACUUCUCUGGGUUUCUUAUUAUCAAACAUACCAUUUCUGGCUAAUUUCUUAUUUCCCACUGUGAGAAAAAGAUAACAAUGUUGUUAUUACUCACAAUGCCAUGAAUUUUUGGAACUGCUUUGUAUUUAAACCACAUAUAUCCUCUUGCCUCUGCAGGUCCCUAAUAACAUUUAUUUAAUGCUGGUUGCAUCAUUGCUCAAGACAUUGCAUGAUCCAUUAUGCUGCCCAAGACUACCAGUUUUCAAUGACUUUCCCAGAGAUUCUUAUUCUGCUUUACUGAUGAUGACCACAAAUGCAAGAACUAUCCAGCGUGCAGGAUAGUGUGAAAGAUGAUUCAUUUUCUGAUCAUUUAAGAGUUACUAUUUGGGAAGCACAAUGGCACAUCUUUCAACCAUAUGUCAUCUGGAACUCUUUAGGCAAAAAAAAAAAAAAAAAAAAAAUCACUGUAUUU